RNAcentral lists this ribosomal RNA (253 nucleotides) under uncultured bacterium. Its description in RNAcentral is "partial 16S ribosomal RNA". It matches the Rfam family "Bacterial small subunit ribosomal RNA", at positions 524 to 776 of the family's 1533-position model. The record is from RNAcentral.
CACGUAGGGGACGAGCGUUGUCCGGAUUCAUUGGGCGUAAAGGGCUCGUAGGCGGUUUGUCGCGUCGGGCGUGAAAACAUCCAGCUUAACUGGGUGCUUGCUUUCGAUACGGGCAGACUAGAGGUAUGCAGGGGAGAACGGAAUUCCUGGUGUAGCGGUGAAAUGCGCAGAUAUCAGGAGGAACACCGGUGGCGAAGGCGGUUCUCUGGGCAUGAUCUGACGCUGAGGAGCGAAAGUGUGGGGAGCGAACAGG